CCUCCAGACUCCUACGGGAGGCAGCAGUGAGGAAUAUUGGUCAAUGGGCGCGAGCCUGGACCAGCCAAGUCGCGUGAGGGAUGACGGCCCUACGGGUUGUAAACCUCUUUUGUCGGGGAGCAAAUUCCGUUACGUGUAACGGAGUCGAGAGUACCCGAAGAAAAAGCAUCGGCUAACUCCGUGCCGGCAGCCGCGGUAAUACGGAGGAUGCGAGCGUUAUCCGGAUUUAUUGGGUUUAAAGGGUGCGUAGGCGGACAGUCAAGUCAGCGGUAAAAAUGCGGUGCUCAACGCCGUACAGCCGUUGAAACUGGCAGUCUUGAGUGGGCGAGAAGUAUGCGGAAUGCGUGGUGUAGCGGUGAAAUGCAUAGAUAUCACGCAGAACUCCGAUUGCGAAGGCAGCAUACCGGCGCCCGACUGACGCUGAGGCACGAAAGCGUGGGUAUCGAACAGGAUUAGAUACCCGCGUA
Molecule: ribosomal RNA, 467 nt
Filed under: uncultured bacterium
Lineage: Bacteria
Description: bacterial SSU rRNA
Rfam family: Bacterial small subunit ribosomal RNA
Source: RNAcentral